UUUUCCCUAAAUUAAUUUCCUCUCUUUUGUUUUUAAAACCAUUUUUAUUAAAUCAGUAAUUAUGUUUAAUUCUAAAUCCAAACCAAUUGCCUAUUUGUUUAUCGUGAUUAUGUCCAGCUAAUUUAUUGAUACUUCAAUGUGAGGACCGUCAUUUGACAGUACUCUAACUGUUGUUUCUUUAGGAUUACAAUUAUGGGUUGUUUUGGUUUCAACACAAUUUUUAUGAACUUAAUCUAAUAUGUUACUAUGAAAGUAGGAUAGUGAUAACGUCACGUAAGA
This 279-nucleotide long non-coding RNA is filed under the name Lathyrus oleraceus (garden pea). Its description in RNAcentral is "Pisum sativum (pea) long non-coding RNA (PSAT_LNC012989)". Lineage: Eukaryota; Viridiplantae; Streptophyta; Magnoliopsida; Fabales; Fabaceae. The record is from RNAcentral.